This 1482-nucleotide ribosomal RNA is filed under the name metagenome. RNAcentral's name for it is "bacterial SSU rRNA". It matches the Rfam family "Bacterial small subunit ribosomal RNA". The record is from RNAcentral.
AGAGUUUGAUCCUGGCUCAGGAUGAACGCUAGCGGCAGGCCUAACACAUGCAAGUUGAGGGGUAACAGGAGUAGCAAUACUUGCUGACGACCGGCGCACGGGUGCGUAACGCGUAUGCAAUCUACCCGCAACAGGGGGAUAGCCCGAAGAAAUUCGGAUUAAUACCCCAUAGUAAUUAACAAAGGCAUCUUUGUAAAUUUAAAGCUCCGGCGGUUGCGGAUGAGCAUGCGUGACAUUAGUUAGUUGGUAAGGUAACGGCUUACCAAGACGAUGAUGUCUAGGGGGUCUUAAAGGAUGAUCCCCCACACUGGUACUGAGACACGGACCAGACUCCUACGGGAGGCAGCAGUGAGGAAUAUUGGUCAAUGGACGCAAGUCUGAACCAGCCAUGCCGCGUGCAGGAUGACAGCCCUACGGGUCGUAAACUGCUUUUAUACGAGAAGAAACGCUAUUACGUGUAUUAGUUUGACGGUAUCGUAUGAAUAAGGAUCGGCUAACUCCGUGCCAGCAGCCGCGGUAAUACGGAGGAUCCAAGCGUUAUCCGGAUUUAUUAGGUUUAAAGGGUGCGCAGGCGGGAGAAUAAGUCAGUGGUGAAAUCCUACAGCUUAACUGUAGAACAGCCAUUGAUACUGUUUUUCUUGGGUGCGGUUGAAGCAGGCGGAAUGUGUAGUGUAGCGGUGAAAUGCUUAGAUAUUACACAGAACUCCUAUUGCGAAGGCAGCUUGCUAAACCGUAACUGACGCUGAGGCACGAAAGCGUGGGGAGCGAACAGGAUUAGAUACCCUGGUAGUCCACGCCGUAAACGAUGAUUACUCGUUGUGUGCGAUAUACAGUACGCGACUGAGCGAAAGCAUUAAGUAAUCCACCUGGGGAGUACGUUCGCAAGAAUGAAACUCAAAGGAAUUGACGGGGGCCCGCACAAGCGGAGGAACAUGUGGUUUAAUUCGAUGAUACGCGAGGAACCUUACCCGGGCUUAAAUGUAGGAUGACCGUUUCCGAAAGGAGACUUCUCUUCGGAGCAGCUUACAAGGUGCUGCAUGGCUGUCGUCAGCUCGUGCCGUGAGGUGUCGGGUUAAGUCCCAUAACGAGCGCAACCCCUAUCAUUAGUUGCUAGCAGGUCAAGCUGAGGACUCUAAUGAGACUGCCACCGUAAGGUGAGAGGAAGGCGGGGAUGACGUCAAGUCAGCACGGCCCUUAUGUCCGGGGCUACACACGUGUUACAAUGGUUGGUACAAAGGGCAGCUACACCGCGAGGUGAUGCUAAUCUCAAAAACCAAUCUCAGUUCGGAUCGGAGUCUGGAACUCGACUCCGUGAAGUUGGAUUCGCUAGUAAUCGUAUAUCAGCAAUGAUACGGUGAAUACGUUCCCGGGCCUUGUACACACCGCCCGUCAAGCCAUGGAAGCCGGGAGUGCCUGAAGUACGUAACCGCAAGGAUCGUCCUAGGGUAAGACUGGUAACUGGGGCUAAGUCGUAACAAGGUA